Nomascus leucogenys (northern white-cheeked gibbon) is the source of this 102-nucleotide small nuclear RNA. Lineage: Eukaryota; Metazoa; Chordata; Mammalia; Primates; Hylobatidae. The record is from Ensembl.
GUGCUCGCUUCGGCAGCAGAUAUACUGCAUUUGGAUCAGUACAGAGAAGAUGAACGUGGCCCCUGUGCAAGGAUAACAUGCAAAUUUAUGAAACAUUUUUAU